RNAcentral lists this ribosomal RNA (1424 nucleotides) under metagenome. RNAcentral's name for it is "bacterial SSU rRNA". It matches the Rfam family "Bacterial small subunit ribosomal RNA". The record is from RNAcentral.
GGGUGAGUAAUAUAUCGAUAACCUACCCUCGAGACGGGGACAACAGCUCGAAAGGGCUGCUAAUACCCGAUGGUUCUGGGUUGAUGCAAUCUUCCCAGCUAAACGGUGGGGUCCUUCGGGACCUUCUGCUCGAGGAGGGGUCGAUAUCCUAUCAGCUAGUUGGCGGGAUAACAGCCCACCAAGGCUUUGACGGGUAGCCGGACUGAGAGGUCGACCGGUCACACUGGCACUGAGACACUGGCCAGACUCCUACGGGAGGCUGCAGUCGAGAAUCUUCCGCAAUGGGCGAAAGCCUGACGGAGCGACGCCGCGUGCAGGAUGAAGGCCCUCGGGUUGUAAACUGCUGUCAAAUGUUAGGAAUGGUUAGUCGCUAAUAACGGCUAACUUGACAAAGGCAUGAGAGGAAGUCACGGCUAACUUCGUGCCAGCAGCCGCGGUAAGACGAAGGUGGCAAGCGUUGCUCGGAAUCACUGGGCAUAAAGCGCGCGUAGGUGGCUUGAUAAGUCGGUGGUGAAAUCCCAUGGCUCAACCAUGGAACUGCCGUCGAUACUGUCAGGCUUGAGGGCGGUAGGGGAGAGUGGAACUCCUGGUGUAGCGGUGAAAUGCGUAGAUAUCAGGAGGAACGCCGGUGGCGAAAGCGACUCUCUGGGCCGUUCCUGACACUAAAGCGCGAAAGCUAGGGGAGCAAACAGGAUUAGAUACCCUGGUAGUCCUAGCCGUAAACGAUGGGCACUAGGUAGAGGUGGUUUCGAAGCCUUCUCUGCCGGAGCUAAUGUAUUAAGUGCCCCGCCUGGGGAGUAUGGUCGCAAGGCUAAAACUCAAAAGGAAUUGACGGGGGCUCACACAAGCGGUGGAGCAUGUGGUUUAAUUCGAAGCAACGCGAAGAACCUUACCCGGGUUUGAAAUGCUAGGAUUAGCCUCCUGAAAGGGAGGUGACGCCCUUUUGGUGGAACUAGCACAGGUGUUGCAUGGCUGUCGUCAGCUCGUGUCGUGAGAUGUCGGGUUAAGUCCCUUAACGAGCGAAACCCUUGUCCUUAGUUGCCAGCACUUCGGGUGGGUACUCUAGGGAGACUGCCGUUGUUAAAACGGAGGAAGGUGGGGACGACGUCAAGUCAUCAUGGCCUUUAUGUCCGGGGCUACACACGUGCCACAAUGGCCGGUACAAAGGGAUGCAAAGCCGUGAGGUAGAGCAAAACCCAGAAAGCCGGUCCCAGUUCGGAUUGGAGGCUGCAAUUCGCCUCCAUGAAGUCGGAAUCGCUAGUAAUCGCGGAUCAGCUACGCCGCGGUGAAUAUGUUCCUGAGCCUUGUACACACCGCCCGUCAAGCCACGAAAGCUGGUAGUACCUGAAGUCGUGCACCCAACCCGCAAGGGAGGGAAGCGCCCACGGUAAAACCGGUGAUUGGGACUAAAUCGUAACAAGGUA